RNAcentral lists this ribosomal RNA (497 nucleotides) under uncultured bacterium. RNAcentral's name for it is "partial 16S ribosomal RNA". It matches the Rfam family "Bacterial small subunit ribosomal RNA", at positions 899 to 1397 of the family's 1533-position model. The record is from RNAcentral.
ACUCAAAUGAAUUGACGGGGGCCCGCACAAGAGGUGGAGUAUGUGGUUUAAUUCGAAGCAACGCGAAGAACCUUACCUAGGCUUGACAUAGUGUGAAAAGCGCAGAGAUGCGUAAUAGUCGCAAGACACACAUAUACAGGUGCUGCAUGGCUGUCGUCAGCUCGUGUCGUGAGAUGUUGGGUUAAGUCCCGCAACGAGCGCAACCCUUUCCCUUAUUUGCCAUCAUUAAGUUGGGAACUAUAGGGGUACUGCCGAUGAUAAAUCGGAGGAAGGUGGGGAUGACGUCAAGUCCUCAUGGCCCUUACGUCUAGGGCUACACACGUACUACAAUGGCCAAAACAAAGCGAUGCAAAGCCGAGAGGUGGAGCCAAACGCAAAAACAUGGUCUCAGUUCGGAUUGUGGUCUGCAACUCGACCACAUGAAGUUGGAAUCUCUAGUAAUCGCAGAUCAGCAGGCUGCGGUGAAUACGUUCCCGGGCCUUGUACACACCGCCCGU